ACGGAGGGCGCGCGGCCGCCACCGAGCCUCUGCGUGCUCCCGCGCACGCCAGGCCCAGACGCGCCGCCGGCCACGUGACCCGGCCCCGCCCCCUAACGGAAGUGGGUCGGAGUCCCGGGCCAGGAGAUCGCCAGGGCAGACUUCCGGCUCCACUGCGCGCAAGGACACGCUUAAGAUUCCAACAAACAAGCGAUUUCACCUUACAGAAGAAAACUCAUGCUGGCUGAUGCACGAGGCAAGGAUUUCACAUUUUCUCCUGAUCAGUAGAAAUUAUAAUUUGGCUAUCUUCUAGGUAAGAGAAAUGAAAAUAUUACCAUGGGUCUUUGUUCAUUUAUUUAUUUUGAGACAAGACUUGCUAUGUAGUUCAGGUUGGCCUUGAACUCACUAUGUAGCCCAGGCUGGCCUUGAGUUCAUAGCGAUCCUCCUGCCUCAGCCUUCUGAGUGCUGGGGUCACAGCCACACCACACCUGGCCCAAUUUGCCUUUAGAAAUGCUU
RNAcentral lists this long non-coding RNA (495 nucleotides) under Chinchilla lanigera (long-tailed chinchilla). Its description in RNAcentral is "lncRNA (ENSCLAG00000023294.1)". The record is from RNAcentral. Lineage: Eukaryota; Metazoa; Chordata; Mammalia; Rodentia; Chinchillidae.